UCUCCGUAGGUGAACCUGCGGAGGGAUCAUUCACAUGAUUAUAUACUUUAUAAAAACAAUUCUGUGAACUUUAUUAAAACAACCCCUUCUGUUUUGUUGUUUUUUGAUUGAUUUACUUCUAUCAUCUAACUAAAAAAAACAUAGAACAUUCGAUUGAACAUUAGAUAGCUGGUUUUUUUAAAUAUUAUUAUUAAAAACUACAGCUGAUUUAUUAACUCAUCAAACAGUUAACAAAAUCAUCCAUUAAUAGAAUUGGAAAACAACUCUAUGCCCUGGAUAUCUUGGUUCUC
This 290-nucleotide unclassified non-coding RNA is filed under the name plant metagenome. RNAcentral describes it as "partial contains small subunit ribosomal RNA, internal transcribed spacer 1, and 5.8S ribosomal RNA". The record is from RNAcentral.